CCUCUAUAUAAACACUCACACUGGGAGCUCAUCUCAGACUACCUGAAGCUGCCACUCACACUCACACACUGAGCCCUGCUGGACCUGGAUACUUACUGCUACUUUGUAUCUGUGUGAGUUGGGGCUGUCACAGUGGAUGUGGCUCCUGCCAGGGUGCUGACAGUCCCUGUUUGUCUCCUAGGUGCUGCCCCCAUGCAGGGCUGAUCUGGCUCCUGGUCCCAGCAGACUGUGCCCACCCUCCUCACCAUGCUGUUUGAGAGCUUUGACCUGGUGUCUGCUCUG
This is a non-coding RNA of Pelobates cultripes (western spadefoot toad), 282 nucleotides long. NCBI's taxonomy places the organism in Eukaryota, Metazoa, Chordata, Amphibia, Anura, Pelobatidae. The record is from the annotation of a GenBank genome assembly.